This 370-nucleotide ribosomal RNA is filed under the name Tolypocladium cylindrosporum. RNAcentral describes it as "partial large subunit ribosomal RNA". It matches the Rfam family "Eukaryotic large subunit ribosomal RNA", at positions 228 to 628 of the family's 3401-position model. Lineage: Eukaryota; Fungi; Ascomycota; Sordariomycetes; Hypocreales; Ophiocordycipitaceae. The record is from RNAcentral.
GGUCGGACGCAAGCCAGUGUAAAGCUCCUUCGACGAGUCGAGUAGUUUGGGAAUGCUGCUCUAAAUGGGAGGUAUAUGUCUUCUAAAGCUAAAUAUAGGCCAGAGACCGAUAGCGCACAAGUAGAGUGAUCGAAAGAUGAAAAGCACUUUGAAAAGAGGGUUAAACAGUACGUGAAAUUGUUGAAAGGGAAGCACUUGUGACCAGACUUGGGCCCGGUGAAUCAUCCAGCGUUCUCGCUGGUGCACUUCGCCGGGCUCAGGCCAGCAUCAGUUCGCCGCGGGGGACAAAAGCUUCGGGAACGUGGCUCCCUCGGGAGUGUUAUAGCCCGUUGCACAAUACCCUGCGGUGGACUGAGGUUCGCGGAUGCUG